Molecule: ribosomal RNA, 214 nt
Filed under: uncultured bacterium
Lineage: Bacteria
Description: partial 16S ribosomal RNA
Rfam family: Bacterial small subunit ribosomal RNA
Source: RNAcentral
AGUUCGGAUUGGAGGUCUGCAACCCGACUCCAUGAAGCUGGAUUCGCUAGUAAUCGCGCAUCAGCCACGGCGCGGUGAAUACGUUCCCGGGCCUUGUACACACCGCCCGUCAAGCCAUGAGAGUUGGGAAUACCCGAAGCCUGUGAGCUAACUGUAAGGAGGCAGCAGUCGAAGGUAGAAUCAAUGAUUGGGGGUGAAGUCGUAACAAGGUACC